This 5379-nucleotide long non-coding RNA is filed under the name Equus asinus (donkey). RNAcentral describes it as "lncRNA (ENSEASG00005034563.1)". Lineage: Eukaryota; Metazoa; Chordata; Mammalia; Perissodactyla; Equidae. The record is from RNAcentral.
CCUGAAUAAAGGAGAACAUGAAUUCUCAUAUCCUUUUUUCUAAUCAGAAAAAAACCUUAAUGAUUUUAUUCAUAAACUGUUUUACUCUCCGUUCUUUUUCUUUUUUUUUUUUUUUUUGAGGAAGAGUAGUCCUGAGCUAACAUCCACUGCCAAUCUUCCUCUUUGCUAAGGAAGACUGGCCCUGAGAUAACAUCCGUGCCCAUCUUCCUCUACUUUAUAUGUGGGACACCUGCCACAGCAUGGCUUGACAAGCAGUGGUCCACACCCAGCAUCCAAACUGGUGAACCCUGGGCCACCAGAGCAAGGUGCCCAAAUUUAGCCACUACGCCACCAGGAGGCCGGAUAUGAGCGGAAGAGCCUUAAGUAUAUGUUUUCCCCAUAGAAACAAGAGCGGUUGUGACUUAGGCUAAUGGUAACGCUUGGGAGAAAGGAAGAAAGUCACAAAGCUACUGAAACAACGCAGUUCUGAAGCUCAAAGCAUCUAUACUCAGUCUGCCCCUUGUCUGUGAAGAACACACAAGUGGGCAGAGACUACGGGAUGUGCAGGUGACGUGCUGUCUAUCUUCUGCUUCAGCAGUUUGGGGCCACUUAGAAAUUUAUUAGCAUUUCCUCUUCCCACGAGGCAUGCGCACAUCCUGCAGGCCUCCGACCCUCCCUAAGUACUUUUUAAGGGUUUAGAGUCGUGCGGACGUGUGUUAACGCACGUUGGUUUGAGUGGAGCAGCCUCGUCUAGUCAUCAGACAACCAAAAACGGUUCAUUAUCCUUUUGUUCCCAUCUAAGAGUGAGCAUUUGUUCUCAGCAAAUGCUAAAGGCUGGGUUAUAGUGAAUGUGCUUCUCAGUGCCCUUCUAGGAAUCAGGAGAAGUGGCGCUUAAAGGAGGCCAGGUGCAGGAAGGAUUCUAAGGGAAAAAGUGUUAUUAAGAGAGAAACCCGCGUUGAAACCCUUGCUGGGCGAGCCACGGGUGUCUGCAGCGCGCUUAUCACCGAAAGGCUCGCCAGGACCCCAGGCGGAGGGCUCACGCGGUGCUGUUGCGCCCCCAGCAGGGACUCUGGCCCUUGCACCAAGAGGAACUGGCAGCCCCUCAAAGGGUUGUUGUGAACUAAUGAUGAAUAUGAGAGCAAGAGCAUGUCAGAAACAUCGUGUCUGUUGCAGGAAUGUAGUGUCCAUUCUGUUUUGUAUUCUGAUCUCUAAGAAAAAUGUAAACAUUUAUUGAUGUUUCUUAUAACAUUUUCUUAGAGAGCCACCUGCCUGAGCAGAUACAGCCUUCUCAAACCCGUGGUUCUCAACCAGGGGAGACUUUGACCUUAGGGGACACUUGGCAAAGUGGAGACAUUUUUGGUUGUCACCACUGGGGGUGGGAAGGAGGGCUGUGUGCUGCUGGCAUCUGGUGGGUGGAGGCCCCUACGACUAAGAGGAUCCAGCUCACGAUGUCAGUGUUGAGGUUAGAAACCCUGUCCUACGCAAUUAGAAUGUUCUGGGUCUUUUGGUUACAUUUGUUACUUCCUAACUGAAUCCACCUGUCUUUAAAAGAAAAAUUCAGCAGACAGCCUUUCUGGGCAAGGGGGCGAUGGAAAUAACCCACAGGUGAAUUCUGUAGGUCCAUGUGACCCUUGUCACAAUUUCUUCCAAAGCAUUUUCGCCAAAAAGGGAAUUUUGCUUUGCAGAAUAGCACUCAGGAGAAAAUUCCUCCCCAUAGGGAUAUACCUGGAAGGUAAAUUUUACUCAGUUAUUUUAUUUUCAAAAAGAAAUCUAAAACAGGCUCCAAAAUUGUUUUUCACAUAAAAUUACCUGCAAAGCUGGCAUAGCUGUCAGUCUCCAUAUAGAGCAUGCGUAAAACACCUUCACGUGAAACCCCUAAAAUUCCCUCUCACUGUGGACAGCCCCAUCUUAUUUCUUGGACUAAACGCACUGCAUUAAAAUUUACUUUUAGGGGGCUGGCCCCGUGGCCGAGUGGUUAGGUUCACGUGCUCCGCUUCGGCAGACCAGGGUUUCACCCGUUCAGAUCCUGGGUGCGGACAUGGCACCCCUCAUCAGGCCAUGCUGAGGCGGGGUCCCACAUGCCACAACUAGAAAAACCCACAACUAAAAAAUACAACUGUACGAGAGGGCUUUGAGGAGAAAAAGGAAAAAUAAAAUCUUUAAAAAAGAAAAAAUGUAGCAAGGACAUAGUAAAACUAUCAUUCAGCUCAAAGCAUAUCAAGGUUCUUUCUGGCAGGGUGGUUGGGAAAAAAGUCAGGUACCCAGUUCUCUCUAGACAUCUCUGCACGUGAAGUGCUGCUGACCUCUCCCCACCGGAGCUCACAUGUCAGCAUUCCAAACACCCACAGGAACCGCUCUGACUUCAGUGUGCAUUGCCUCCCUGGAUGGCCUGCGUGGCAAAUUCCGUUUGAGACCAGAGCCCUAAGGGGCACCGGCUUCUGGUGUGUUGGAGAUGGAGAAUUGGCCUCAUGGCUGCUCCUACUCGAUGUCAGCAACUCAACAUCUCGUCCUCUCUCGCGGCUCCCGGGCCCUCAGUGGACAGGAGAGUGGUCAGCACCAUGGUGAAUCUGAGAGAUCGAGGUAAACACGGCCAUUGGGGCACCGUGCUCCCUCCAGCACGCCCCUGGUCCUGGUGGGCCCUUAAGGGAGAAUGCUUCCUAGCCUCCCCCAGGGGCGCAACUCCACCCCCGCUGUGCUCCUCGCAGGUCUUAGGAACAGGCGCCUUUCCUGCCGUCGUUCCUCCUGUAGAGUGUGCCUCCACGGCCUGUGAGGGAGAAAAGGCCCAAAGCCGAGCCCUGUGCUGCUCAGGACAUGGCCUCAGCUACAAAGACCAAGUAGGAACCUCAAAUUACUGCCCAUGAGGCCGAGGCCUUCCCGGCCCGCGAAGAUCUGAGGAGGGCGAGCAUCUUUCCCACCUUUCAGCAUGUGCGCCCGAGGCCGUCCUUGCUUUGGCAACCCUUCCAAUAUGCUUCCUGGGAGACAAGGCCGCCCUGGCUGUGGGGCCAGCUGCCUGCUGGCUGCAGGGCCUUUCCCUGCCCGACCUGGGGAGGGGAGAGGUUGCACUCAGCUGAACCUUGACCUCUCUCAGCAGCCCCAGCCCCUGAGUUCCAGGGCCAGGGCUUUCCCGCCCACCAGGCACCUCCACCAACGUGGGACCCACUGUCUUCAUACACAGAGCAGAGACACUGGAAACGUCUGAAGCUUCCAUGAGCUUUUUAAUCCUUUCUCUGCUCCCCGCUCCUUGAAAAGACAUCAUAAAAUGGCAGCAUUUCUGACAAAGCUUUCCAAUGGAUUCAGACUGAUAAGCCCCAAAAGGUGACCCUUCCAACUUACAUUCCUCAGAGUCGUUAAAUUGCAUGAUUAAACCAAAAAUCUAGUCAUCUUUUGCUGCUCAGAAACCAUCAAUGGCCCCCCUGCCUACAGGGCCAAGCCUGACAUCCCUGGUGGGGGAUGAGGCCCUUCACAGCUGCCCCAAGGGGCGUCCCAGGCCGUGUCCUCAGCCCCUGAGCCCCUCCCCCACCUUCCUGAAAGCACCGCCCCUCCACACCUGCCCAGCAACCUGAGCUGGUCCCCGCCUCCUCUCUCAAGGCCCAAGUCAGAUAUGAGUGCCGCUGUGAGGCCCCCGUGACUCCCCCACCCCACAGACAGAUGCCUGCCUCCUCUGUGCUUCACGUCCUCGGUCCCUCCUGCCUCCUUCCUGCACAGCAGAGAGCGGCCCGGGCAACCACCCAGCAUCUCCAGUCAGAAGAUCUGCUUCUCGGCACUGCCCUGUGCUACCAGGAAACAGCUGUAAAACCACUCACCUUUCUUAGCCUGGGUUUUCCCCUCUGUAAGGCUCUUGAGAGGGAUAAGUAUAUGUGUGUACACACACCAUUAGAUGGAAGGGCACUCCAUACCUCUAAAGGACUAUACAAAUGUCAGCAUCAGGCAUUGUCAUCGUUGACACGGUGGCCACCUGGGUCCCUGGAGGAAGGUAGCAACAUCCUACUCAUCUCCAUACUCUCGCCCUGGCAGGUCUCUGGCACCUGGUAGGUGCCUCAUGAAUGUCUCCGAUGUUUGAUGAGUGGUUGGUAAAGGUCAGUACACCUCCUAGACCGUGGGGCUGGUGAAAUGCUCCCGUUGCACGAAGCGUUUCCCUCUAACUUGCCGGUUUGCUGGAUAAAGUUCAACGGACGCCACAGAAUAUGGAGCAUCAUCUACAAAUUCAGAGGCAGCCCUCUUCUCCGCCUUCAGCCUUGACAUUCAAGGACAGACACAGGGCUCCUGGAAGGAGACGCAGAGGCAAGGCUUCUGGGGGUGAGGGUGUUGUUCCCUCGCUCUCACAAAGGGCACUUCCUUAUCAGAGAAAGGAUGUGGAUGCCUGUGGACCCCCAGAGCGCGCCCGAGGUCAGAGGAGAGAGGGGCCUUCAUGUUAUGAUCGAGAGCACAGAACAAUACAACAGACCCUGUGUGAAGGGAGCUCCCUUCCCUCGUGAGGAGAAUGCAGAAAAGGACACCAACACCUGCUCAGAGAGAAAAAUGAGACUGGCGUCAGGAAUAGGAAAGACCAGAAAGGUGUGAGGGUAGAGACAGCGCCUGACAACUCCAUGGAAGGAGCAGAGGACUCGAGGAGCUCAUUCCUGACCCUCCUAUAAUCCAGAAGCAGCCACCCCAUGAUAUUUUGAGAGUUCCUGGGUACCUUCUUUCUUUUCCCCUUUUCUCUUUUUGCUAGCUGGAACAAUUUUCAGAAACUCCCAAAAAACAGUUUGAUUAGCAUGAAAAAGCUAGGUACUGAGUACAUGUUUGAAAUGUUCCAUAACAAAAAGUUUUUAAAGCUUUACAAAAAAAUUUUUACAAAAGUAAAUAGUCUAUUUCCUUUUAAGUAACUUUAUCUUAACUUAGACAUAUUAAAAUUAAAAUAAGUGAUAGGAAAGACAUACUAAGAUUAAAAAAAACACUUGAGAUUGCUUUCAAAUGGCGACAGAGAUUUAUUUUCUGGUACCUUGAAAUGCAUUCAUCAGAAAUAGGGCAGGCUACUAUUAUUAGCAAUUGACAGGAAAGUUGUCGCUCAGAAGUAACCAUAUUAAAGAUUUCAGACAUCUUAACACAACAGUUGGUGAUGAAUAAUGUCAAUUUGUUCAUUAUACCUAUGCACCUGAAAGUUCUAUUUUUUAUGCUAUAAAUUAGUUGACCCAAAUGUGUUUUUUUAAUAGGUUUGUUUAAGAAGUAUAAACAGUUUUUAAAAGAGAACAGUGUAUACUUCUUCUAUUAUUUGCAAAUUGCCUUGGAGAAAGACCGCUGCCCACCUCUGUUUGUGAAACUGAAAGGAUAGCGUAAGCGAGAGGAGGAGCCAGCGUGCAGGGAAGAGAAGUGACGCGAGCGGCCUCCCCUCCAGGAGCUCCAUCAGCAGCCAGUCCUCCC